This 862-nucleotide long non-coding RNA is filed under the name Marmota monax (woodchuck). Lineage: Eukaryota; Metazoa; Chordata; Mammalia; Rodentia; Sciuridae. The record is from RNAcentral.
GAGCCACACACAGAACGGAGGAGAAACCUGUCAGUCACUGUUUUAACCAAGCCUUCCAGGCUAAUUUAGGUACCUGAGCUAGGUGAUCAAAGUACCAGCCUUACAUGCCCCCUGCUGUCACGCACUGAGAACCAAACACCAAACAUUGCCUUUGAAGUACAUGGUUCCCCAGAAGAGUUGACCUUGAAUCUUUUUUUUUUUUUAAUUUUAGAUGUUGAUGGACCUUUAUUUUGUUCAUUUAUUUGUAUGUGGUGCUGAGAAUCGAACCCAGUGCCUCACACAUGCUAGGCAAGUGCUCUACCACUGAGCCACCACUCCAGCCCCAACCUUGAAUCUUAAUCAUGAGGAAACAAUUGGAUGCAUCCAGAUCCAGAGCCAUUCCGCAAAGCCACUGGCCUGGACUCUUCAAACAGAUCAAAGCUGUAAGCUGCAACACAACUGAUUCACUACGUGAAUGAAUGACUUGACCAAAGCUGAGGUGACAGUCCUACCUGGGAGGAAACAGAGAGGCAUGAUUGCCAGAUCCCUUUAGGGGAUCUUUAAUAAAGUUUCCAAAGAAGAUAAAACAGAUAUGAAGGAUGUUCUCGGGACAAUUGGGGAAAUUUGAAUUGUAAGUGGCUGUUGGAGAAUGGCAUCAUACCCGUGUUAUGUGUCCUGAGUGCCGUCAUUGUCCUGUGUGAAAUGCUCUCGUUCUCAGGAGGAGGAUUCUUUGGGGUAAGCUUGCGAUGAGUGCAUAUGUCAGAUGACUCAUAAAAAAAGUGUGUGUACAGAAUGUCGCAGCUAAUACACUAUAGUAUGUAUAUAUGGGGGGGGACAAAGAGAAAGCAAAUUUGGCAAAAUAUUAACCCUUGCUGGAACCAGG